RNAcentral lists this ribosomal RNA (403 nucleotides) under uncultured bacterium. Its description in RNAcentral is "partial 16S ribosomal RNA". It matches the Rfam family "Bacterial small subunit ribosomal RNA", at positions 28 to 526 of the family's 1533-position model. The record is from RNAcentral.
GACGAACGCUGGCGGCGUGCCUAAUACAUGCAAGUCGAACGCAGUGGGGACGGGUGAGUAACACGUGGGUAACCUCCCAUCAGAGGGGAUAACACUUGGCAACAGGUGCUAAACCGAUACUGAUGGAUGGACCCGUGGGGGAUUAGCUAGUUGGUGAGGUAACGGCUCACCAAGGCCACGAUGCAGAGCCGACCUGAGAGGGUGAUCGGCCACACUGGGACUGAGACACGGCCCAGACUCCUACGUGAGGCAGCAGUAGGGAAUCUUCGGCAAUGGGCGAAAGUCUGACCGAGCAACGCCGCGUGAGUGAAGAAGGUUUUCGGAUUGUAAAACUCUUUUGUCAGAGAAGCGGUAUCUAACCAGAAAGCCACGGCUAACUACGUGCCAGCAGCCGCGGUAAUUC